Molecule: long non-coding RNA, 703 nt
Filed under: Triticum aestivum (bread wheat)
Lineage: Eukaryota; Viridiplantae; Streptophyta; Magnoliopsida; Poales; Poaceae
Description: long non-coding RNA (TAES_LNC007324)
Source: RNAcentral
UUCACUCGCUACUUUAACACGGUGACAGAAGAGCAUGUUUUGAGUUAGCAGUUGCGGACAUGUUCUCUUUAUGUUUAUUAGUCCAUUAGUCACAUGAUAAAACUUGGUUUGGUAGGGUGUCAACAAGUUCCAUGGAUAGCAGCAGGGGAUUUCUAACACCCCCUUUUAUCUGGAUGCACGGUGUAUGCUGCAAUUUAUAUUAUGCGAUUUGCACUUCACGAGUCAAGAAGCUCUACUGAUUCUGCUCCUUUUGACAGAACGACGAGAGUGACGUCGAGGCUCCGGAGGCAGAGAAGAAGGCUGAAGAACCUGCAGCAGCUACCGCUGUUGAAAAUGGAGCGACAGAGCAGCAGCUAGCAGUUGAGCCCUCCACUGCGACGACCGAGCCAAAUCACACGGCCGAAAUCCUGGAGCCAGAGGAUGCACGGGAUGCGCAGGUGGUGGAAGAAGAGAAGCGUGUGGAUCCUGAUUCAGUUCAGGUUGCAAUUUAUCUUUAUGCGAUUUUCACUUCAUGAGUCAAGAAGCUCUACUAAAUCUGCUCCUUUUGACAGAACGACGAGAGUGACGUCGAGGCUCCGGCGGCAGAGAAGAAGGCUGAAGAACCUGCAGCAGCUACCGCUGAUGAAAGUGAAGCGACGGAGGAGCAGCUAGCAGUUGAGCCCUCCAUUGCGACGACCGAGCCAAAUCACACGGCCGAAAUCCU